AAAACCCUGCGUAGUGCGUGUAGACAGAAUUUUUAGAACCUACAAGUUUAAAGAGGGACCUUAAAUCUUUGAAUAUGGCGUGCAAGCUUACACUUUAGCAUUUGUAAAAUUACAUUUCGAGUAGUAAGAAGCCCAUGAGUAUUCAAGAAGGAACCCACCUGUCGAAGACAGGUCCUUAAAAAUUCAAUCAACUUACGGCUAAUGUGGGGAUUGC
This is a non-coding RNA of Clostridium sp. CAG:269, 214 nucleotides long. The record is from Rfam. Lineage: Bacteria; Bacillati; Bacillota; Clostridia; Eubacteriales; Clostridiaceae.